Molecule: ribosomal RNA, 497 nt
Filed under: uncultured bacterium
Lineage: Bacteria
Description: partial 16S ribosomal RNA
Rfam family: Bacterial small subunit ribosomal RNA
Source: RNAcentral
GAUGAACGCUGGCGGCGUGCCUAAUACAAGCAAGUCGAGCGAACGGACGAGAAGCUUGCUUCUCUGAUGUUAGCGGCGGACGGGUGAGUAACACGUGGAUAACCUACCUAUAAGACUGGGAUAACUUCGGGAAACCGGAGCUAAUACCGGAUAAUAUUUUGAACCGCAUGGUUCAAAAGUGAAGGACGGUCUUGCUGUCACUUAUAGAUGGAUCCGCGCUGCAUUAGCUAGUUGGUAAGGUAACGGCUUACCAAGGCAACGAUGCAUAGCCGACCUGAGAGGGUGAUCGGCCACACUGGAACUGAGACACGGUCCAGACUCCUACGGGAGGCAGCAGUAGGGAAUCUUCCGCAAUGGGCGAAAGCCUGACGGAGCAACGCCGCGUGAGUGAUGAAGGUCUUCGGAUCGUAAAACUCUGUUAUUAGGGAAGAACAUAUGUGUAAGUAACUGUGCACAUCUUGACGGUACCUAAUCAGAAAGCCACGGCUAACUACGUG